This 465-nucleotide ribosomal RNA is filed under the name uncultured Anaerolineaceae bacterium. Its description in RNAcentral is "bacterial SSU rRNA". It matches the Rfam family "Bacterial small subunit ribosomal RNA", at positions 901 to 1382 of the family's 1533-position model. Lineage: Bacteria; Bacillati; Chloroflexota; Anaerolineae; Anaerolineales; Anaerolineaceae. The record is from RNAcentral.
UUAAAGGAAUUGACGGGGACCCGCACAAGCAGCGGAGCGUGUGGUUUAAUUCGUUGCUACACGAAGAACCUUACCUGGGUUUGACAUAUAGGUUGUAGGGAACUGAAAAGGGACCGACCUUCGGGAGCCUAUACAGGUGUUGCAUGGCUGUCGUCAGCUCGUGUCGUGAGAUGUUCGGUUAAGUCCGCUAACGAGCGCAACCCUCGUCGUAUGUUAUAUGUGUCAUACGAGACUGCCGGUAAAAGCCGGAGGAAGGUGAGGAUGACGUCAAGUCAGCAUGACCUUUAUAUCCAGGGCUACACACACGCUACAAUGGUCUGUACAAUGGGUAGCCAAGCCGCGAGGCGGAGCCAAUCCUGAAAGCAGGCCUCAGUUCAGAUUGCAGUCUGCAACUCGACUGCAUGAAGCCGGAGUUGCUAGUAACCGCAGGUCAGCAAUACUGCGGUGAAUACGUUCCCGGGUCUU